Molecule: non-coding RNA, 467 nt
Organism: Chiloscyllium plagiosum (whitespotted bambooshark)
Lineage: Eukaryota; Metazoa; Chordata; Chondrichthyes; Orectolobiformes; Hemiscylliidae
Source: RefSeq, a predicted model, not a curated record
UCACCAUAAGUCUUUAUUGUUUCUAGAUGGCACAAGUGCGUGGUGUACCCAGGGGAAUGUAUGAUGGCCCAGUGUACGACCUAGGAACCCCCAAAGCAGGAACCCCUUCAGCCUCAGCCAAGACAUCUCCUAGCAAACAGCCCCAACCAGUUCGAAAUCUACACCAGUCUGGUUUCAGCCUUUCAGGGCGACCCUACUGAUGGUUUUACAAAAUCUAAUGCAGGGGCACAAGUGGACGACGGCCCUCGACGCAGUGGUCACCGCAUCGUAGCGCCUCCUGGUGGACGCUCAAAUAUCACCUCACUCAGCUGAAGCUCAUGACAGGGAAAAAGAGAGGGGUGGGGGGAGAGAAGGAAGAAAUUGUGCUGUAAUGAUGACGUCUUGCAAAGAAAAGCAAAAUAAAAGAUAAUUGUGUUUGUCCUGCAAAAAACAAAAGAAAUAAAUGGUCACUCUGGAUUGAAUAUAAA